UUGACAUCCAGAGAACUUAGCAGAGAUGCUUUGGUGCCUUCGGGAACUCUGAGACAGGUGCUGCAUGGCUGUCGUCAGCUCGUGUUGUGAAAUGUUGGGUUAAGUCCCGCAACGAGCGCAACCCUUAUCCUUUGUUGCCAGCGGUUCGGCCGGGAACUCAAAGGAGACUGCCGGUGAUAAACCGGAGGAAGGUGGGGAUGACGUCAAGUCAUCAUGGCCCUUACGGCCAGGGCUACACACGUGCUACAAUGGCGCAUACGAAGAGAAGCGACCUCGCGAGAGCAAGCGGACCUCAUAAAGUGCGUCGUAGUCCGGAUUGGAGUCUGCAACUCGACUCCAUGAAGUCGGAAUCGCUAGUAAUCGUAGAUCAGAAUGCUACGGUGAAUACGUUCCCGGGCCUUGUACACACCGCCCGUCACACCAUGGGAGUGGGUUGCAAAAGAAGUAGGUAGCUUAACCUUCGGGAGGGCGCUUACCACUUUGUGAUUCAUGACUGGGGUGAAGUCGUAACAAGGUAAGCGUACGUGU
RNAcentral lists this ribosomal RNA (528 nucleotides) under uncultured bacterium. RNAcentral's name for it is "bacterial SSU rRNA". It matches the Rfam family "Bacterial small subunit ribosomal RNA", at positions 981 to 1509 of the family's 1533-position model. The record is from RNAcentral.